GCAAAAAGAACCCAAUAAUAUUUUAAAAGUAUAAUACCCCUAUCUAUUUUCCAAAUUAUAAUUAUAUGAUUUCAAUGGCAAUCCAGUAACAAAGAAUAGAAUGAAACAGACAAAAACCGGCAUCAAAAUUAUAGAAUAUGAAGCAAAUUUGAAAACCCAAAACACUUUUAUGUGAAUCCAAGAUGAACGAUUCACUUUAAAAAUAUGCAGAUAACAUUCUGAGGAUGCCUGAUGAGAAUCA
RNAcentral lists this unclassified non-coding RNA (241 nucleotides) under Hevea brasiliensis (rubber tree). The record is from RNAcentral. Lineage: Eukaryota; Viridiplantae; Streptophyta; Magnoliopsida; Malpighiales; Euphorbiaceae.